GGCUGUUAUAAAAUACCUUACAUGCAUUUUGUGAGGGAAAUAGUUUAUUUUUGCUCACAUUCCCAGGUUGUGGCCCACCACUGUGUGGAAGUCACCAAGGCAGGAAUCUGAAAGAACUCGUCCAAUCACAUCCAGUCAGCAGAAAGCCCAAGGGGAUGGCUUCAUCAGUAACCUGACCGUCUUGCAAAACGAGGACCUGAACUCAAAUCUCCAAAACCCAUAUAAAAAGGGGAUACUAAGGAAGCAGAGACAAAUGGCUACCUGGAGCCUAUGGACCAACCCUGAGCCUCAGAUGCAAAAAUGUUCUCCUUGCCACGGUUAUGGAGAAUCUUGUCCCUGCCAAAGGUAAUGAUUCUACGAUAAACACAUGAUUUUGGAAAAUGAGAUCAUAUCUUUGUGAUGCUAAGACCUUCUAGACAACCCUUAAGGCUGAGGAAAUAAAAACUGAAAAAAUGAGUUCAAGAACACAUAAAUCAGUGUAAGAACUGUUCUUUACAGAAUUUUUCAACUGUGCAAAAUAUAAUGAUGCAAUAUGAAAUGUAUGAGCAGUUUCAUGGACUUGAAACAAUAGAGACAGCUGCAUUAAGUCAGUUUAGUCACAAAGAUAUUAAGGAGGUCAAGUGUGAUGGCAUACACUUAAUCCCAGCACUCAGGAGGCAGAGACAGGAGGAUAUCUUGUAAGUUCAAAGCCAGCCUGGUCCACCAAAAAAAAAAAUGAUGGCUUAAUGAUAUUCUAAUUUCAAAAUAUUAUACAAUCCUACUCUCCAAUAUCUCCAGUAACCCUAGAAUUGAUGACAUAAAAAAAGAAGAAAAAAAAAGAACAAAGUUUAAAAGAAUAUAUUAAGGUAGCUAAGAAUUAUAAAAAUGAGCUUCAUUGCAAAAAAUAUUAUGCAUAAACUAACU
Rattus norvegicus (Norway rat) is the source of this 903-nucleotide non-coding RNA. Lineage: Eukaryota; Metazoa; Chordata; Mammalia; Rodentia; Muridae. The record is from RefSeq and is a predicted model, not a curated record.